UACGUAGGGUGCAAGCGUUGUCCGGAAUCAUUGGGCGUAAAGAGCGUGUAGGCGGCCCGAUAAGUCCGCUGUGAAAGUCCAGGGCUCAACCCUGGAAUGCCGGUGGAUACUGUCGGGCUAGAGUCCGGAAGGGGCGAGUGGAAUUCCUGGUGUAGCGGUGAAAUGCGCAGAUAUCAGGAGGAACACCAAUGGCGAAGGCAGCUCGCUGGGACGGUACUGACGCUGGAGACGGCGAAAGCGUGGGGAGCGAACAGG
Molecule: ribosomal RNA, 255 nt
Filed under: uncultured bacterium
Lineage: Bacteria
Description: partial 16S ribosomal RNA
Rfam family: Bacterial small subunit ribosomal RNA
Source: RNAcentral